CAUGUCCUCAAGUCCAUUCUCUACAUCUGAGUCUUUAUUCCUGUCAAAAGCAGGUAGAACUUGAAGGUAACUGAGAUUAAGUGAAUUUGAGAUUAAAUAGUGUUAUAUAAUCAAUCAGCUGAUUCCAUGCAUAUUUUAUGAAGAAUUUAAAAGUGAAAAACUUUCAUAUGGUGAAAUAAAUUUUUCCUUGUAUCUGAUGUAAGAAAUGUGAUUUUUAAGAGUGUUACUUUAAUAAUUAAUUCCUGAACAAAUAAAAACUAGUGUAAAAAUAAUCAUGGGCUAUAUCUGUUAGGUCAGCUAAAUAAGAAUCGUAACUCCUAGGUUUCAUCUCGGCCUUUUAAGGUUUCUGGGGUGCUUUGGGUUCUUUUACGUAGGUGGAUUUAACCAUUCCCCUUUUCUAAGAAGUUUCUUCCUCUCUGUUGGUAGGUGUCUGAUGAUUUGUGGGCACCAAAUGGCUAUUCUGUGGAGUCAUCUCUCCUUGCCUUUGAAUUAGUUUUCCCUUGGCCAUGAGUCAACAUCAAUAUUUUAUACAUCCAAAUUGGGUGUGCUCUAGUGAGGUCCGCCAAGUACACUGACGAAGAUCGCCCAAAUACAUACAUGAGACAAAGAGAUGAUGUAUUUUUUUCAGCACUUAGAUGCAUCAUAAAAUGGAAACCCUCUUCCUACUUUGGAAGAAAUUUACUCAACUUGAUUACAAGUUGUAAAGAGG
This is a long non-coding RNA of Aethalodelphis obliquidens (Pacific white-sided dolphin), 709 nucleotides long. RefSeq lists it as uncharacterized. The transcript has 3 exons. NCBI's taxonomy places the organism in Eukaryota, Metazoa, Chordata, Mammalia, Artiodactyla, Delphinidae. The record is from RefSeq and is a predicted model, not a curated record.